GACUGAGGUGGUACAUCUGUCAAAGAGUAACGCAGGUGUCCUAGAGCUCAGUGAGGACGGAAGCCUCGCGUAGAGCAAAUAAGCUGAAAUAACUUUAUUUUGGAAAUGUCAGAUUUAUGUUAUGCUUGUUCGAGAGG
RNAcentral lists this non-coding RNA (137 nucleotides) under Ciona intestinalis (vase tunicate). RNAcentral describes it as "Eukaryotic large subunit ribosomal RNA". It matches the Rfam family "Eukaryotic large subunit ribosomal RNA", at positions 2623 to 2763 of the family's 3401-position model. The record is from Rfam by way of RNAcentral. Lineage: Eukaryota; Metazoa; Chordata; Ascidiacea; Phlebobranchia; Cionidae.